RNAcentral lists this ribosomal RNA (260 nucleotides) under uncultured bacterium. Its description in RNAcentral is "partial 16S ribosomal RNA". It matches the Rfam family "Bacterial small subunit ribosomal RNA", at positions 30 to 291 of the family's 1533-position model. The record is from RNAcentral.
AUUGAACGCUGGCGGCAUGCCUUACACAUGCAAGUCGAACGGCAGCACGGGAGCAAUCCUGGUGGCGAGUGGCGAACGGGUGAGUAAUAUAUCGGAACGUGCCCAGUCGUGGGGAUAACGUAGCGAAAGCUACGCUAAUACCGCAUACGAUCUACGGAUGAAAGCGGGGGAUCGCAAGACCUCGCGCGAUUGGAGCGGCCGAUAUCAGAUUAGGUAGUUGGUGAGGUAAAGGCUCACCAAGCCGACGAUCUGUAGCUGGU